UUGCAUGUUCUAGGUCACAGCCCCCUUCCCUGAAGACUUUUUAAUAGUCUGGUCGCACCCUGUGCAGGAAUCAGUCCCAGUCAGGACACAGCAUGGACAUGAGGGUCCCCACUCAGCUCCUGGGGCUCCUGCUGCUCUGGCUCCCACAUGACAGAUGUGACAUCCAGAUGACACAGCAUGGACAUGAGGGUCCCCACUCAGCUCCUGGGGCUCCUGCUGCUCUGGCUCCCACAUGACAGAUGUGACAUCCAGAUGACCCAGCCUCCAUCCUCCCUCUCUGCCUCUGUAGGAGACAGAGUCACCAUCACUUGCUAGGCUAGUCAAAGCAUUAGCAACUAUUUAAAUUGGUAUCCGCAGAAAACACGGAAAGCACCUAAGUUCUUGACCUAUAGGGCAUCCAGUUUGCAGAGAAGGGUGCCAUUUCAGUUCAGUGGCAGCGGAUAUGGAAGAGAUUUCACUCUUACCAUCAGCAGCCUGCAGCCUGAAGAUUUUGCAACAUAUUACUGUCAACAAGAGAACAUUUUCCCUCUCCCAGUGUGACAAGUCAUAACAUCAAACACUAGAAUAGCAGAUGAGUGAGGCUGGGCUG
This 589-nucleotide long non-coding RNA is filed under the name Rhinopithecus bieti (black snub-nosed monkey). RNAcentral's name for it is "lncRNA (ENSRBIG00000045291.1)". The record is from RNAcentral. Lineage: Eukaryota; Metazoa; Chordata; Mammalia; Primates; Cercopithecidae.